This 981-nucleotide ribosomal RNA is filed under the name uncultured bacterium. Its description in RNAcentral is "bacterial SSU rRNA". It matches the Rfam family "Bacterial small subunit ribosomal RNA", at positions 510 to 1502 of the family's 1533-position model. The record is from RNAcentral.
AGCAGCCGCGGUAAUACGAAGGGACCUAGCGUAGUUUGGAAUUACUGGGCUUAAAGAGUUCGUAGGUGGUUGAAAAAGUUGGUGGUGAAAUCCCAGAGCUUAACUCUGGAACUGCCAUCAAAACUUUUCAGCUAGAGUAUGAUAGAGGAAAGCAGAAUUUCUAGUGUAGAGGUGAAAUUCGUAGAUAUUAGAAAGAAUACCAAUUGCGAAGGCAGCUUUCUGGAUCAUUACUGACACUGAGGAACGAAAGCAUGGGUAGCGAAGAGGAUUAGAUACCCUCGUAGUCCAUGCCGUAAACGAUGUGUGUUAGACGUUGGAAAUUUAUUUUCAGUGUCGCAGCGAAAGCGAUAAACACACCGCCUGGGGAGUACGACCGCAAGGUUAAAACUCAAAUGAAUUGACGGGGACCCGCACUAGUAGUGGAGCAUGUGGUUUAAUUCGAAGAUACGCGCAGAACCUUACCAACACUUGACAUGUUCGUCGCGACUUUAUGAGAUUGAAGUUUUCGGUUCGGCCGGACGAAACACAGGUGCUGCAUGGCUGUCGUCAGCUCGUGUCGUGAGAUGUUGGGUUAAGUCCCGCAACGAGCGCAACCCUCACUUUUAGUUGCCAUCAUUUAGUUGGGCACUCUGAAAGAACUGCCAGUGAUAAGCUGGAGGAAGGUGGGGAUGACGUCAAGUCCUCAUGGCCCUUACGUGUUGGGCUACACACGUGCUACAAUGGUAUCUACAACAGGAAGCAAGACGGCGACGUUAAGCAAAUCCUUAAAAGAUACCUCAGUUCGGAUUGCACUCUGCAACUCGAGUGCAUGAAGCUGGAAUUACUAGUAAUCGUGGAUCAGCGUGCCACGGUGAAUGCGUUCCCGGGUCUUGUACACACCGCCCGUCACACCAUGGGAGUUGGUUCUACCUUAAGGCAAGGUUUCAAACCCUUGACCACGGUAUAGUCAGCGACUGGGGUGAAGUCGUAACAAGGUAGCCG